Long non-coding RNA from Trematomus bernacchii (emerald rockcod), 649 nucleotides. RefSeq lists it as uncharacterized. The transcript has 4 exons. Lineage: Eukaryota; Metazoa; Chordata; Actinopteri; Perciformes; Nototheniidae. The record is from RefSeq and is a predicted model, not a curated record.
UAUGGAGAGUCCAGACUGCAGACUGGAGACUCUCAGGAUCAGAAGAGAUGAGACGAUCAGAGCCAAGAUCCAGAAGACCUGUGACAGGAAGUGAAGACACACAGAAAGGAACUCCCAUCCCCCGAGUCCUGCGGCAGGAAGCGCUCCUUCUCUCCAAGAACUCCUGGACCCUGCAAGCUGGUCCAGAACCAGAGUCCCAGUGAGGAGUCCAGCCAGUGGACCUCUCAGAGUUAAACUACAACAUUAUUGAAGAUCAUGUUUAAAGUUAAAAAAGGAUGCUUUCAGACUGAAUCCAGAAGUUUCUCUAACUACAGUCAAAGCAGGUGCUACUCCAUCCCUGAGAGUGGGACCCAGGAACCCCUCAAAAACACACCUGGUUGCUAUCCUGGCUCCUAAAUGGUGGAAUGAACUCCCCAUUGACAUCAGGACAGCAGAAACUCUGCAUAUCUUCAUCGUAGACUGAAAACGCAUCCAUUUCGAUUUUACCUUGGCAAUUUUGAGUUAAUUUAGGCCUUUUAACUGAUUCACCUGUGACCCACACAAAGUGUAAUCACAAUUGUAUGUUUAUAUUUAAUAUGAUUUUAUAUCACUGGCUUCAAAGGGAGAGACAGACUGACUGUGGGCACCCUGGAGAGGGCCAAUGAGCUGA